GUCGCUUUUGAUGCCCAUAAAACAAAGGAUACUGACAAGCACUUGAAAGAAAUGCAUUAGGUUAGGCCAAGUUAUUUCUAUAAUAAAAUUGCCCAGCAAUUGAACUCAAUAUCACCAUCAGAUAUAAAGCAAAUACACACAUACAAGUAAAAUUCAACAACCUUGUAGCCUAGGGUUUCCUUCAUUUUCUAAAGAGUUCUCUCUAAAGUUCCAUCAGCCUUCUAUACCCUUCGGCCACAAAAAUACGCUGCAUUAAUCUAACUACAAACAUUCCAAUCCCCAUUUUUGUAUUGUAUUGAAUUAGAAUGCAUUUAAUAAAAAUAAAAUCACAAACGAGGAACAAUAGUAAAUACACAUUGUACACUUGGAAUUACAUAGUAUAAAAAGAAAAUCCUCAUAUAAGAACAUAAAGAACAGAGAAGAACCUGUU
Molecule: unclassified non-coding RNA, 430 nt
Filed under: Hevea brasiliensis (rubber tree)
Lineage: Eukaryota; Viridiplantae; Streptophyta; Magnoliopsida; Malpighiales; Euphorbiaceae
Source: RNAcentral